RNAcentral lists this ribosomal RNA (331 nucleotides) under uncultured eukaryote. RNAcentral describes it as "partial 18S ribosomal RNA". It matches the Rfam family "Eukaryotic small subunit ribosomal RNA", at positions 1470 to 1796 of the family's 1831-position model. The record is from RNAcentral.
CCCUUAGAUGUUCUGGGCCGCACGCGCGCUACACUGACGAAGUCAGCGAGCAUGUCCUACGCCGACAGGUGCGGGGAAUCUUGUCAAACUUCGUCGUGAUGGGGAUUGAUUAUUGAAAUUCUUGAUCAUCAACGAGGAAUUCCUAGUAAGCGCAAGUCAGCAGCUUGCGUUGAUUACGUCCCUGCCCUUUGUACACACCGCCCGUCGCUACUACCGAUUGAAUGGUUUAGUGAGAUCUUCGGAUUGGCGCCACUGCGACUCAGCAAUGGGCUCGGUGGAUGCCGAAAAGUUGAUCAAACUUGAUCAUUUAGAGGAAGUAAAAGUCGUAACA